This 468-nucleotide ribosomal RNA is filed under the name uncultured bacterium. Its description in RNAcentral is "partial 16S ribosomal RNA". It matches the Rfam family "Bacterial small subunit ribosomal RNA", at positions 28 to 507 of the family's 1533-position model. The record is from RNAcentral.
GACGAACGCUGGCGGCGUGCUUAACACAUGCCAGUCGAACGGAAAGGCCCUGCUUUUGUGGGGUGCUCGAGUGGCGAACGGGUGAGUAACACGUGAGUAACCUGCCCUUGACUUUGGGAUAACUUCAGGAAACUGGGGCUAAUACCGGAUAGGAGCUCCUGCUGCAUGGUGGGGGUUGGAAAGUUUCGGCGGUUGGGGAUGGACUCGCGGCUUAUCAGCUUGUUGGUGGGGUAGUGGCUUACCAAGGCUUUGACGGGUAGCCGGCCUGAGAGGGUGACCGGCCACAUUGGGACUGAGAUACGGCCCAGACUCCUACGGGAGGCAGCAGUGGGGAAUAUUGCACAAUGGGCGGAAGCCUGAUGCAGCAACGCCGCGUGCGGGAUGACGGCCUUAGGGUUGUAAACCGCUUUCGCCUGUGACGAAGCGUGAGUGACGGUAAUGGGUAAAGAAGCACCGGCUAACUACGUG